CCUACGGGCGGCAGCAGUGAGGAAUAUUGGUCAAUGGACGAGAGUCUGAACCAGCCAAGUAGCGUGAAGGAUGACUGCCCUAUGGGUUGUAAACUUCUUUUAUAUGGGAAUAAAACGUUCCACGUGUGGGAUUUUGUAUGUACCAUAUGAAUAAGGAUCGGCUAACUCCGUGCCAGCAGCCGCGGUAAUACGGAGGAUCCGAGCGUUAUCCGGAUUUAUUGGGUUUAAAGGGAGCGUAGGUGGAUUGUUAAGUCAGUUGUGAAAGUUUGCGGCUCAACCGUAAAAUUGCAGUUGAUACUGGCAGUCUUGAGUACAGUAGAGGUGGGCGGAAUUCGUGGUGUAGCGGUGAAAUGCUUAGAUAUCACGAAGAACUCCGAUUGCGAAGGCAGUUCACUGGACUGCAACUGACACUGAGGCUCGAAAGUGUGGGUAUCAAACAGGAUUAGAUACCCUUGUAGUC
This 460-nucleotide ribosomal RNA is filed under the name uncultured bacterium. Its description in RNAcentral is "partial 16S ribosomal RNA". It matches the Rfam family "Bacterial small subunit ribosomal RNA", at positions 338 to 795 of the family's 1533-position model. The record is from RNAcentral.